UGGGGAAUAUUGGACAAUGGGCGAAAGCCUGAUCCAGCCAUGCCGCGUGUGUGAAGAAGGCCUUUUGGCUGUAAAGCACUUUAAGUGGGGAGGAAAAGCUUAUGGUUAAUACCCAUAAGCCCUGACGUUACCCACAGAAUAAGCACCGGCUAACUCUGUGCCAGCAGCCGCGGUAAUACAGAGGGUGCAAGCGUUAAUCGGAAUUACUGGGCGUAAAGCGCGCGUAGGUGGUUAUUUAAGUCAGAUGUGAAAGCCCCGGGCUUAACCUGGGAACUGCAUCUGAUACUGGAUAACUAGAGUAGGUGAGAGGGGAGUAGAAUUCCAGGUGUAGCGGUGAAAUGCGUAGAGAUCUGGAGGAAUACCGAUGGCGAAGGCAGCUCCCUGGCAUCAUACUGACACUGAGGUGCGAAAGCGUGGGUAGCAAACAGGAUUAGAUACCCUGGUAGUCCACGCCGUAAACGAUGUCUACCAGUCGUUGGGUCUUUUAAAGACUUAGUGACGCAGUUAACGCAAUAAGUAGACCGCCUGGGGAGUACGGCCGCAAGGUUA
RNAcentral lists this ribosomal RNA (549 nucleotides) under uncultured bacterium. RNAcentral describes it as "bacterial SSU rRNA". It matches the Rfam family "Bacterial small subunit ribosomal RNA", at positions 355 to 896 of the family's 1533-position model. The record is from RNAcentral.